Molecule: long non-coding RNA, 146 nt
Organism: Lynx canadensis (Canada lynx)
Lineage: Eukaryota; Metazoa; Chordata; Mammalia; Carnivora; Felidae
Exons: 3
Source: RefSeq, a predicted model, not a curated record
ACAGAGCACAAACUGAAUCAUUACCAGAAGGGAGGUGGGUAGGGGAAGAGUGAAACAGAUAAGGGGGAUUAAGAGUAUGUUUAUCAUGAUAAGCGCUGAGUAAUGUACAGAAUUGUUGAAUCGUUAUAUUGUGUACCUGACACUAA